RNAcentral lists this unclassified non-coding RNA (258 nucleotides) under Hevea brasiliensis (rubber tree). The record is from RNAcentral. Lineage: Eukaryota; Viridiplantae; Streptophyta; Magnoliopsida; Malpighiales; Euphorbiaceae.
CUCCUCUCUUCUUCUAUCUCAGAAUCUUAACUCAAUGGCUCAAACAACUCCAAAACAUACCCAGACCGUUUCUGGCUGGGCAGCCCACGAUUCCUCUGGCAAGAUCACCCCUUAUAUUUUCAAAAGAAGAGAGAAUGGCAGCAAUGAUGUAACCAUAAAGAUCAUGUAUUGUGGGAUCUGCCACACUGAUCUCCACCAUGUGAGGAAUGAUUGGGGGAUUACCAUGUACCCUGUGGUUCCAGGGCAUGAAAUUACAGG